Molecule: ribosomal RNA, 254 nt
Filed under: uncultured archaeon
Lineage: Archaea
Description: partial 16S ribosomal RNA
Rfam family: Archaeal small subunit ribosomal RNA
Source: RNAcentral
AUUAGAUACCCGCUAGUCCCAGCCGUAAACUAUGCUCGCUAGGUGUCAGGCAUGGCGCGACCGUGUCUGGUGCCGCAGGGAAGCCGUGAAGCGAGCCACCUGGGAAGUACGGCCGCAAGGCUGAAACUUAAAGGAAUUGGCGGGGGAGCACAACAACGGGUGGAGCCUGCGGUUUAAUUGGACUCAACGCCGGACAACUCACCGGGGACGACAGCAAUAUGUAGGCCAGGCUGAAGACCUUGCCUGAAUCGCUG